RNAcentral lists this ribosomal RNA (253 nucleotides) under uncultured bacterium. RNAcentral's name for it is "partial 16S ribosomal RNA". It matches the Rfam family "Bacterial small subunit ribosomal RNA", at positions 524 to 776 of the family's 1533-position model. The record is from RNAcentral.
UACGGAGGGGGCAAGCGUUAUUCGGAAUUAUUGGGCGUAAAGGGCUCGUAGGUGGCCAACUAAGUCAGACGUGAAAUCCCUCGGCUUAACCGGGGAACUGCGUCUGAUACUGGAUGGCUUGAAUCCGGGAGAGGGAUGUGGAAUUCCAGGUGUAGCGGUGAAAUGCGUAGAUAUCUGGAGGAACACCGGUGGCGAAGGCGGCAUCCUGGACCGGUAUUGACGCUGAGGCGCGAAAGCCAGGGGAGCAAACGGG